AUGCCGCGUGCAGGAUGACGGCCCUAUGGGUUGUAAACUGCUUUUAUGUAGGAAGAAACACUCUCACGUGUGAGAGCUUGACGGUACUACAAGAAUAAGGACCGGCUAACUCCGUGCCAGCAGCCGCGGUAAUACGGAGGGUCCAAGCGUUAUCCGGAAUCAUUGGGUUUAAAGGGUCCGUAGGCGGAUUAUUAAGUCAGAGGUGUAAGUUUGCAGCUCAACUGUAAAAUUGCCUUUGAAACUGGUAGUCUUGAAUUAUUAUGAAGUGGUUAGAAUAAGUAGUGUAGCGGUGAAAUGCAUAGAUAUUACUUAGAAUACCAAUUGCGAAGGCAGAUCACUAAUAAUAUAUUGACGCUGAGGGACGAAAGCGUGGGUAGCGAACAGGAUUAGAUACCCUGGUAGUCCACGCCGUAAACG
This 417-nucleotide ribosomal RNA is filed under the name uncultured Flavobacteriaceae bacterium. RNAcentral's name for it is "bacterial SSU rRNA". It matches the Rfam family "Bacterial small subunit ribosomal RNA", at positions 394 to 808 of the family's 1533-position model. The record is from RNAcentral. Lineage: Bacteria; Pseudomonadati; Bacteroidota; Flavobacteriia; Flavobacteriales; Flavobacteriaceae.